This is a non-coding RNA of Oryctolagus cuniculus (rabbit), 1314 nucleotides long. The record is from RefSeq and is a predicted model, not a curated record. NCBI's taxonomy places the organism in Eukaryota, Metazoa, Chordata, Mammalia, Lagomorpha, Leporidae.
GUUACCAAGGCGGCCCCAUUCUGCCCAACAAAAGCCCCGUGUCUGACCUCUCCAAGCCCAAGACAGAGGAUUCGGGCGAGGCUCUGAGGAAGCUGAGUUGUCCUGCCGAGGACAGAGGAGAGCUUGGGGCAGUGAGUGCAAUAACUGACCGAGCUGGCACCCGGCUCAGCGUCUCCCAGGGACUGCCUUGUGAAACCCUCACUACGACCCUGUUAUCUCCAGCUUUUAUUAUCCUCAUCUGCAGGCGACAUUGAGGUUCAGAAAGGGUAGGAAACUCCCCUAGGAUCACACAGCUGAUAAGAUGCAGAGCGGGAGCCCAGGGUCAGGCUACCUGGAAACAGGGCCCUUGCAUUUGUCUAUAGCGUCAUUUUGCCUCUCAAGGAAAAGACAUGCAAAAAAGAGGAGGAGAGCCAGAAGGCAGUGGGGGCUGUGGCAAGAAAAUGUCCAUGUCACCGUUCAGGGUUCGUGUGGAGCCGUGUGACCUGCAGCAUCUGCAAGCCUCGCUCCGACUUCCCUGCUCCCUCCGCCUGCCUCACCCCUGCACACCCUCUGCAGGAGGGUUUGAGGGAAGUAGAAGGGGCUGCCUGAGCCGCACACCUCGGCUGGAGCUGUGUAAAACUGAAAGAGCAGGCCUGGGGCAGAGGCCCAAUGCAGACACCGAAUGCAUGUAGCAGAAGCCACAGCUCCACGGCAGACGUGGGGCGGGGGGCGUGUAAAGACUCAAGGCAUUCCAGAACUCUCCGAAGAAUUGAGGAGAGUGAUGCACUUCCAACGGGUGUGGAAUAUGAACUUGAACAGAUUUUUUUUUUUUUUUUUUGAAAUAGCAAGGGAAGGCGGUUACACAGAGAUGGUGUACUGAGACUUAAAGAGGCCUCCUACUCUGAUAGACCGCUGCCCCUCUGUGUCCCAUGCCUCCACCCUCAGGCUGGGGUCUGAGGUUCCAGGUUCUGUCUGGCACAGGUCAUGCUCCCCCUCUCCCGCCCACCUGGCGGGAGGGCAGCCUGAGGCUCAUGGGCCAAGCCUGGCAGAGCCUGGCUCCGGGCUGGGGGCUAAAACCAAGAACACGGUGACCCGCGAUGCCCACGGGACUCUGACUCCCGUAGCUGAAGCUCCCCCAGGACCUCGCAGGGAAGGGGUCCAGCCUGCUCGCGCUCCAGCAGAAGCAGCGUCUGCCACCCUUCGGCCUUGCUGGAUGACGACUCUAACACAGUUUGGUUUUUCUAAUAGACUGGGCUCUGGGAACCCCUCGCCCUGGCUGGGGCACGCCGAGGGUGGGGACGGGUCACGAGCCUUCAGUGGGACCUUGGUCUGGUC